This is a long non-coding RNA of Drosophila montana, 1077 nucleotides long. RefSeq lists it as uncharacterized. The transcript is spliced from 2 exons. Lineage: Eukaryota; Metazoa; Arthropoda; Insecta; Diptera; Drosophilidae. The record is from RefSeq and is a predicted model, not a curated record.
CAACGCGUGGCCCAAUAAAUGGCGACAAAUGCGUUCACAUGCUUAAUUACAUGCACUCACUCCCACUCGCACAGACAGACACCCCCUCUCUCUCACUCUCUCUCUUGCACUCACUCAAUAUCUUAACUGUUUGUUUUGAUCAGUUUUAAUGCACAUUUACUAGCACUGGACGGACACACGGCCAACAGACGAAACCGAACUCGAGCGUCGUCUCUCCACAGCUGCUGUUGCAGUCGACGUCACAAUCGCUACUUUGCUUGCGUGUUUUUGUUGCCGCAGCUGGAGGCGCGUUGCCCAGCAUGCACGUGUCCAAGGGUCAGCUGCGGCUGCAGAUUUCAAUUCGAGGUUUGUUCUCCUUUUCUAGCGCACACAACACCCAACACACAACACAACACCAGCGUGCAGGCAGGCAAGCAGGCAGCUAGCUAGCCAGCCAGACAGACGCACUGUCUCCGCCUCUAGCGGGUACAUUUCAAUGUCAACUAAGGUUAAAAGUAAUACAGUUGGCGAGGGGAGUUUGCAUUGCACAUACACCGGACGCACGAACAGCUGCUGCAGUGUUGAAACGUUGCGGGCAUAAUUAUCUCAGUUCGGAUUUAGCAAUAUUAAAUAGGCAAACAAAACCCUGUAUUUUGGACACAACAAUCACAAUACUACCGAAACAUCUACAAGUACCACAAAUAAAACAGCUAUCGAUAUCGAGUGCACAUGCACCGAUAUGCCGAUAACAAAACGCCAUGCAACCCGCUGCUAUCGUGCGAUAGUUACGAGCCAGCUGUGCGAUAGUUGCCAACGAUGUGGCAGCUCGCGCACAGCGUUGCCACUAGAGCACAAAAACCGUUGCAGAAUUUAAAUUUUAGUUUUCAAUUAAAUUUGGACUUGUUUUUCAUUUUGUUUAUUUGACAUACACGUAUAUAUUUAUGGGUUUAUAUUUUUGUUUAUCUUUUGUUUUGGUUUUUUUGUUGUUGAAUUGAAUACAAUUGUAAAAAUUAUGAAAUAGACGUUAUUAGUAUUGGGCAAAUGUUUACAAUCUUUUCGUUCUUGUUUUCUACGUUUGAAGCAGUUAUUUUGGGCAAA